Molecule: transfer RNA, 65 nt
Filed under: Erpobdella octoculata
Lineage: Eukaryota; Metazoa; Annelida; Clitellata; Hirudinida; Erpobdellidae
Also listed under: 1 other name
Description: tRNA-His
Source: RNAcentral
AUGCUUGUUAAAAAAUAAUUUUACUGAGUUGUGGUUUCAGAAAUAUAGAAAUUCUAUCAAUCAUC